AGAGUUUGAUCCUGGCUCAGAUUGAACGCUGGCGGCAUGGCUAAAACAUGCAAGUCGAACGCGAAAGUACCUUCGGGUGCGAGUAGAGUGGCGAAAGGGCGAGGAAUAUGUUUCUACGUACCCCCAAGUCAAGGAUAGCCCAGGGAAACUUGGAGUAAUACUUGAUGUGGUCUUCCGGCAUCAAAGGCUUGCCACCUCGGGAUCGGGGAACGUGCUAUCAGGUUGUUGGUGAGGUAAUUGCUCACCAAGCCUAAGACGGCUAGCGGGUGUGAGAGCACGGCCCGCCGCAUCGGGACUGAGACACUGCCCGGACUCCUACGGGAGGCUGCAGUAACGAAUAUUCCGCAAUGCGCGAAAGCGUGACGGAGCAAUGCCGCGUGUGGGAUGAAGCCCCUCGGGGUGUAAACCACUGUCAGGGUUUAGAAACACAAUGAUCAAACCCAGAGGAAGAGCCGGCUAACUCUGUGCCAGCAGCCGCGGUAAUACAGAGGGCUCAAGCGUUAAUCAGAAUCACUGGGCUUAAAGCGUGCGUAGGCGGGCCUGCAAGUGCCUUGUGAAAUCCCACGGCUUAACCGUGGAACUGCUCGGUAGACUGCGGGUCUUGAGGUCGGUAGAGGCUGUCGGAACUCUAGGUGGAGCGGUGAUAUGCUUAGAUAUCUAUCGGAACGCCAAAGGAGAAGUCAGGCCACUGGGCCUGUUCUGACGCUGAGGCACGAAAGCGUGGGUAGCGAACGGGAUUAGAUACCCCGGUAGUCCACGCCGUAAACGAUGCGCACUAGGUCGGGGAGGUUUGACGCCCUCCCGGCCGAAGCAAAAGUGUUAAGUGCGCCGCCUGGGGAGUACGGUCGCAAGGCUAAAACUCAAAGGAAUUGACGGGGGCUCACACAAGCGGUGGAGCAUGUGGCUUAAUUCGAAGCAACGCGAAGAACCUUAUCCUGGGUUUGACAUGUAUGGAUUAACUCCUAGAAACAGGAGCAACACCCUCGGGUGGAACGUGCACAGGUGCUGCAUGGCUGUCGUCAGCUCGUGCUGUGAAGUGUCGGGUUAAGUCCCUCAACGAGCGCAACCCUUGUCGCUAGUUGCUAACAGGUAAUGCUGAGGACUCUAGCGAGACUGCCGGUGUUAAACCGGAGGAAGGUGGGGAUGACGUCAAGUCCUCAUGGCCUUUAUGCCCUGGGCUGCACACGUGCUACAAUGGUAGGUACAGAACGAAGCAAGAUCGCAAGAUGGAGCAAAUCGCUAAAACCUGCCCCAGUUCGGAUUGGAGGCUGCAAUUCGCCUCCAUGAAGUUGGAAUCGCUAGUAAUCGCGGAUCAGCUACGCCGCGGUGAAUACGUUCCUGAGCCUUGUACACACCGCCCGUCAAGUCAUGGAAGCUGGCAGCGCCCGAAGUCGCCCUGAUUCAGGGGUGCCCACGGCGAGGCUGGUGACUGGGACUAAGUCGUAACAAGGUAACC
Molecule: ribosomal RNA, 1456 nt
Filed under: uncultured prokaryote
Description: partial 16S ribosomal RNA
Rfam family: Bacterial small subunit ribosomal RNA
Source: RNAcentral